CACGUAGUUAGCCGGUGCUUCUUAUACAGGUACCGUCACUUACGCUUCGUCCCUGUCGAAAGGAGUUUACAACCCGAAGGCCGUCAUCCCCCACGCGGCGUCGCUGCAUCAGGCUUCCGCCCAUUGUGCAAUAUUCCCCACUGCUGCCUCCCGUAGGAGUCUGGGCCGUAUCUCAGUCCCAAUGUGGCCGUACACCCUCUCAGGCCGGCUACCCGUCGACGCCUUGGUAGGCCAUUACCCCACCAACAAGCUGAUAGGCCGCGAGCUCAUCUUGCACCGAAAAAACUUUCCAACCACCACACUAAAAGUGGCUCAUAUCCGGUAUUAGACCCAGUUUCCCAAGCUUAUCCCAGAGUGCAAGGCAGAUCACCCACGUGUUACUCACCCGUUCGCCACUCGAGUACCAGUGCAAGCACUGGCCUUUCCGUUCGACUUGCAUGUGUUAAGCACGCCGCCAGCGUUCGUCCUCGAGCCAGGAUCAAACUCUA
This 488-nucleotide ribosomal RNA is filed under the name uncultured Corynebacterium sp. Its description in RNAcentral is "partial 16S ribosomal RNA". The record is from RNAcentral. Lineage: Bacteria; Bacillati; Actinomycetota; Actinomycetes; Mycobacteriales; Corynebacteriaceae.